AGGUUAUUGGCAAAGUGCCAGCGGCGGAGAGAACAGGCAGAUCGUAAAGACGCCAUCAAUCCCUCCCUGGAGGCUCGAACCGCGCCCUCCCUGGCGCGGACGCUUU
RNAcentral lists this non-coding RNA (106 nucleotides) under Yersinia aleksiciae. RNAcentral describes it as "Yersinia sRNA 224". It matches the Rfam family "Yersinia sRNA 224". The record is from RNAcentral. Lineage: Bacteria; Pseudomonadati; Pseudomonadota; Gammaproteobacteria; Enterobacterales; Yersiniaceae.